RNAcentral lists this unclassified non-coding RNA (345 nucleotides) under soil metagenome. Its description in RNAcentral is "partial contains 5.8S ribosomal RNA, internal transcribed spacer 2, and large subunit ribosomal RNA". The stretch from base 1 to 119 matches the Rfam family "5.8S ribosomal RNA", at positions 35 to 154 of the family's 154-position model. The record is from RNAcentral.
GAUGAAGAACGUAGCGAAAUGCGAUACGUAAUGUGAAUUGCAAAUUCAGUGAAUCAUCGAGUCUUUGAACGCACAUUGCGCCCCCUGGUAUUCCGGGGGGCAUGCCUGUCCGAGCGUCAUUGCUGCCCUCAAGCACGGCUUGUGUGUUGGGCCCCGUCCUCCGAUCCCGGGGGACGGGCCCGAAAGGCAGCGGCGGCACCGCGUCCGGUCCUCGAGCGUAUGGGGCUUUGUCACCCGCUCUGUAGGCCCGGCCGGCGCUUGCCGAUCAACCCAAAUUUUUAACCAGGUUGACCUCGGAUCAGGUAGGGAUACCCGCUGAACUUAAGCAUAUCAAUAAGCGGAGGA